Nicotiana tabacum (common tobacco) is the source of this 531-nucleotide long non-coding RNA. RefSeq lists it as uncharacterized. The record is from RefSeq and is a predicted model, not a curated record. NCBI's taxonomy places the organism in Eukaryota, Viridiplantae, Streptophyta, Magnoliopsida, Solanales, Solanaceae.
AAGAAAUCAAGAUAUUUUUGCUUGCUUAGUUUUUCCGGUCAAUUUUUUCAUCUCACUUCAAUUUAUUUUCUCAACCUUAUAAAACUUGUGGGUGGAAGAUGGCAGCUCUUUUAUUUGUUUUGGCUCAGUUUGGAAGCUUCAUACCGAUUAGAAACUAUGCAAAUUGGGUUGCUACAGCUGUUCUUCAAAACUAUAAGGACAAUACAAGAUUGCAUCUAAUAUAUGCUAAUUUUCCACAUGAGGACAUUCUUUUGAGUUUCUUCACAGUUUAGUAUCUUCCUCCACAGGGAGAUAUUCCAAAAAGAUGGCUUAUAACCUCGAAGGACAUUCAAAAGGGAUGUUUUUCCCAGUGAAGUAUGUCCGUAGGCCUUUUUGUGGAAGCAAGUUGAAUAAUGAGAGUAAGAUAAACAUUGGACUAUGUUGCAAAUACAUGUGUCAUAAUUUUUUGGAUUCUUAAUUGGAUGUAUUUAGUAAGACGUGUUGAUACGUUAUCAAUAUAAAUAUUUGAUCAGAUUAAUAUUAAGAAACAAA